CACGUAGGGUGCGAGCGUUGUCCGGAAUUAUUGGGCGUAAAGAGCUCGUAGGCGGUGUGUCGCGUCGGCCGUGAAAACUUGCAGCUUAACUGUGGGCGUGCGGUCGAUACGGGCAUCACUGGAGUUCGGCAGGGGAGACUGGAAUUCCUGGUGUAGCGGUGAAAUGCGCAGAUAUCAGGAGGAACACCGGUGGCAAAGGCGGGUCUCUGGGCCGAUACUGACGCUGAGGAGCGAAAGCGUGGGGAGCGAACAGG
RNAcentral lists this ribosomal RNA (254 nucleotides) under uncultured bacterium. RNAcentral's name for it is "partial 16S ribosomal RNA". It matches the Rfam family "Bacterial small subunit ribosomal RNA", at positions 524 to 776 of the family's 1533-position model. The record is from RNAcentral.